This 497-nucleotide ribosomal RNA is filed under the name uncultured bacterium. RNAcentral's name for it is "partial 16S ribosomal RNA". It matches the Rfam family "Bacterial small subunit ribosomal RNA", at positions 28 to 507 of the family's 1533-position model. The record is from RNAcentral.
GAUGAACGCUGGCGGCGUGCCUAAUACAUGCAAGUCGAGCGAACGGACGAGAAGCUUGCUUCUCUGAUGUUAGCCGCGGACGGGUGAGUAACACGUGGAUAACCUACCUAUAAGACUGGGAUAACUUCGGGAAACCGGAGCUAAUACCGGAUAAUAUUUUGAACCGCAUGGUUCAAAAGUGAAAGACGGUCUUGCUGUCACUUAUAGAUGGAUCCGCGCUGCAUUAGCUAGUUGGUAAGGUAACGGCUUACCAAGGCAACGAUGCAUAGCCGACCUGAGAGGGUGAUCGGCCACACUGGAGCGGAGACACGGUCCAGACUCCUACGGGAGGCAGCAGUAGGGAAUCUUCCGCAAUGGGCGAAAGCCUGACGGAGCAACGCCGCGUGAGUGAUGAAGGUCUUCGGAUCGUAAAACUCUGUUAUUAGGGAAGAACAUAUGUGUAAGUAACUGUGCACAUCUUGACGGUACCUAAUCAGAAAGCCACGGCUAACUACGUG